RNAcentral lists this ribosomal RNA (436 nucleotides) under uncultured Ruminococcus sp. RNAcentral describes it as "bacterial SSU rRNA". It matches the Rfam family "Bacterial small subunit ribosomal RNA", at positions 341 to 792 of the family's 1533-position model. Lineage: Bacteria; Bacillati; Bacillota; Clostridia; Eubacteriales; Oscillospiraceae. The record is from RNAcentral.
ACGGGAGGCAGCAGUGGGGGAUAUUGCGCAAUGGGGGCAACCCUGACGCAGCAACGCCGCGUGAAGGAUGAAGGUCUUCGGAUUGUAAACUUCUUUUGUCAAGGACGAAGUUCUGACGGUACUUGACGAAUAAGCUCCGGCUAACUACGUGCCAGCAGCCGCGGUAAUACGUAGGGAGCAAGCGUUGUCCGGAUUUACUGGGUGUAAAGGGUGCGUAGGCGGCAAGGCAAGUCAGAUGUGAAAUCUAUGGGCUCAACCCAUAGCCUGCAUUUGAAACUGCUUUGCUUGAGUGAAGUAGAGGCAGGCGGAAUUCCCCGUGUAGCGGUGAAAUGCGUAGAGAUGGGGAGGAACACCAGUGGCGAAGGCGGCCUGCUGGGCUUUAACUGACGCUGAGGCACGAAAGCGUGGGUAGCAAACAGGAUUAGAUACCCUGGUA